GCAAUGGGCGAAAGCCUGACGGAGCAAUACCGCGUGAGGGAGGAAGGCUCUUGGGUCGUAAACCUCUUUUCUCAAGGAAGAAGAAAGUGACGGUACUUGAGGAAUAAGCAUCGGCUAACUCCGUGCCAGCAGCCGCGGUAAUACGGAGGAUGCAAGCGUUAUCCGGAAUGAUUGGGCGUAAAGGGUCUGCAGGUGGAACUGAAAGUCUGCUGUUAAAGAGUUUGGCUUAACCAAAUAAAAGCGGUGGAAAUUACAGAACUAGAGUGCGGUAGGGGCAAAACCAAUUCCUC
RNAcentral lists this ribosomal RNA (290 nucleotides) under uncultured Cylindrospermopsis sp. Its description in RNAcentral is "partial 16S ribosomal RNA". It matches the Rfam family "Bacterial small subunit ribosomal RNA", at positions 368 to 672 of the family's 1533-position model. The record is from RNAcentral. Lineage: Bacteria; Bacillati; Cyanobacteriota; Cyanophyceae; Nostocales; Aphanizomenonaceae.